This 442-nucleotide ribosomal RNA is filed under the name uncultured soil bacterium. Its description in RNAcentral is "bacterial SSU rRNA". It matches the Rfam family "Bacterial small subunit ribosomal RNA", at positions 950 to 1393 of the family's 1533-position model. The record is from RNAcentral.
CACGGGGGGAACGCGAAGAACUUACCAAGGCUUGACAUGGAUUUCUAAGCACGUGAAAGCGUGUGACCCUUCGGGGGACUUCCACAGGUGCUGCAUGGCCGUCGUCAGCUCGUGUCGUGAGAUGUUGGGUUAAGUCCCGCAACGAGCGCAACCCCUGUGAUUAGUUGCCAGCACGUAAUGGUGGGGACUCUAGUCAGACUGCCCAGAUCAACUGGGAGGAAGGUGGGGACGACGUCAAGUCCGUAUGGCCCUUACGGCCAGGGCUGCACACGUACUACAAUGCCCAGCACAAAGUGAACCGAGACCGCGAGGUGGAGGAAAUCGAGAAAGCUGGGCUCAGUUCAGAUUGCAGGCUGCAACUCGCCUGCAUGAAGUUGGAAUCGCUAGUAAUCGCAGAUCAGCAUUGCUGCGGUGAAUACGUUCCCGGGUCUUGUACACACGC